AGUGUUGCAAUGAAGAGAAGAGUACACGAAAAGGAUUGGCACAGAGAGUUCCCGUUUGGUGAAAGGGAAUACAAGAUAGUUCGUGGAAGAUGGACUCCGAGCAGGCUGGCCGAAUAAUUAGGCCGCCCGGGUGCACCCGUUAUCGUGCUAUGGUAUUUAAGGCAUAUGCCUGCGUACCUGAAGAGAUCUGAUCUGCGAAGAUUAGGUAAAAUUGGGUGGUAUCACGGUGCUUCCGUCCCUUGU
RNAcentral lists this non-coding RNA (243 nucleotides) under Megasphaera cerevisiae. RNAcentral's name for it is "T-box sequence". It matches the Rfam family "T-box leader". Rfam says of the family: Uncharged tRNA acts as the effector for transcription antitermination of genes in the T-box leader family. Lineage: Bacteria; Bacillati; Bacillota; Negativicutes; Veillonellales; Veillonellaceae. The record is from RNAcentral.